UUUGUUCCCAUAGCAACAGACGAGCUCCGGAAGCAGCCUACGUGGGAUCUUUGACGAGGAUGAACCUGUUGCCUCACUGUCACAAUUUUGAAGAAAUGACAAACGGUUUCAAAUUAAUUAUGUGUGAAUAGCAUUGUAACAAUAGCAGGAUGAGUAUAAGUAAAGUGACAUUUUUGACGAGUGAAGGUGAGUAUUUUGGCGAUUAAUGAUUAUAGAAAAUUGUAAUGUAUUUUGUAGCCUAUACUAAAUUAUCCAAAAGAUAUUUAAAAUUUGUAGUCUAUUUUGGGGGCUUUUCACCAUUUUCAGGCCCCAUCUGAGAGUAUAGUCUAGCCCUAGCUGGCUACUGACUGAGCCAGGCUGAGCCUCGAGGGCUGCAACGUAAUUAUCAGGCCACCAGAUGACAUUAUUUCUCUGAAAGCUAUGUGCGAUUUUAAAGACUACUUUGACUAAUGAUGUUCAACAUUCUUUUAACUUUAAAAUAUGUUUUUAUUUGUAUGUUUUAUUAGGCUUUAAGGCUAUGCAUUAUAACAACCUGGUAUGAAACAUGUUUUGAUGUAGGUGUUUCGUUACUGUACUGCAUUAUAAAAUGACAGUGCAGUUUUUCUCUAUUGUUAUGAGGGCUACACAUUUUGAGGAGAGAAUAUGAAGCUGAGCUCAUCAUCAGCAUCAUGAUCCGCAUAAUGGCCCUAGUAGUGCAUGAUAUUUUGAGAGGAUCAGAUUUGAAUGGAUAUGAUGUGAAAGACAGUUUGCAUUUUGAUGUCUGUAUGCCAUAUUUCAACUGAUGCCCUGUGCUGACGCAUGAUUCAUAGAUAUAGCCUAUAUAUUCCUAGCAUUAUGGAUUGCUUUCCAUUGCAAUGUAAUUUACACCCAGUCACAACUAUGACUCAUAAGCCUAUACAUUGGAUCAAUGCAAAGCCAUACAUGAGAGAUGAAGGUAUAGCACUAUCAAAUAUGUCACUAUCAUAACACCGAGGGAGAACAUAAAUAUUAGGCUAUCGCAUAGUUAAAAUUUUCCUGGCAGCAUAUCAUGACACGCAUGUGUACAAAAAUCACUCAAUAAAUAUUCGAUUCGUCAUCAUUACUCCAUUUGGGCCUACUCUGUAACAAAUUCAUAAAAAAUAGGCGGCAUGUAUCAACACUCUCUUAAUUGUCCAAGACCACCAAACCACCUGAUUUUCUUACUUUAAAAACAGUCCAUACGAGAAGAAAAAAAAAGAGAUAUUGAACUCAAGUGCUCGAAACAGUCUUGAGGGCUGUUCUUGAAAGCGCAUUCUCUGCUGCGCUUAGGCAGUCACAAGACUUGGACAUCCAUGAACAAAAACAAAGACACUACAAUUAGCCGACAUAGGUCAGGGUCAAGCCCAUAUGCCACUAAACAACUCUGCAUUGAACAGGUCUUGCCAUUUUGGAAACUUAUUUCACCCGCCGUUGCGCGCUUCGGAUGAUAUUUUCCCCAAUGGAAAUCUCAGCAUUAAUCCUUCCCAUCCAAACUUGACAUUGCAACAUUGUUUUACCUAAGCAGGAAUAAGAAGUGAAGUGGUGUUCUUAGCCCACUUUCAGUGAUGGGUUUGGACGUAAAGGAGGGGCGCAUGCCAAAGGUAGCGACCACCAUGGAAUAAAUUAAACCAAAGAUAUCAACAGUUGCCUACCACCCACUCGAAAUCGAUUGUAUUAGAAGCUCGCUGAACGUAUAAAACGGGACGUAUGAUUUCAAGACCGGCUGCAGACAACGGAAUCUUCGCUCAAUAAGCUACACAACCGACAACGCCUAGAGAGAUUUGAUACAGACAACUCGUGUCCACUUUUCAGGACAUACGGCUCCUUUAGUAACUUAAAUCAGAAAAGCCAUGCAGGCAGAAAGGAAAUGGCACAUACUUUUGAGUAUAAUCCUUAUGCUGAUCACCUCGAGCCAGUGCAUGGACAGCAAGGAAGUGAAGCAGAAAGGGAGAAGGACCCUGCUGGACCUUAUUUUACAGGUUAUCGGAGACAGCCAAUCAGGGGACAAGCCUUCAGUCUCCAGGCGCUAUAACAGUGGCCUCUUCCCUACAGCCCAAGAGAUGAGGUUCUCCUCUCGAGAAAAGCCUUUAUAUGUUCCUAGGCUGGAUAACAGUAGACCCAUAGGAAAUGGCACACUUUAUGAUUUGAAGAGUUCCCUAUUGGCACCCUGAAAGAGCCACAAUCCAUCCUCUCACUUGGCUAGUGAGGUAUCGUAUCACCGCAUCAUAACAAAAGAUUAUCAAUGGCAUCACCAACCAAGUUGCCCAGGGGCGGAGGCUCAUUAGCAUACUAAACUUGUGAAUGAUUCAUUCAGUUCAGGACACAUUGCGGAAUCUCAAACCACGAAUGAUCCGCCUCCUCCAGCUUCUUGGACAGCCAGUGGUGAGCGUCACAGGGAUGCAUCACAGGUGACGUGAGACCAGGACACUCACGUGGCACACAGUUUAGUCAGCUGUGAUCACACAGCCAUUUUCACCACAUUCACUGACUUCAUUUCACGUGUAAGAUGGAAAGACUAUGUUAAUGUGAAAGCCUUUUUUUGCUCAAGUGGAACAAUAGAAUCCAUGUGAUUUGUGUUGGGCUUUUGGAAUGUGGUCAGAAGUACUGAACGGGAAGUCUUUCAUACAUUUAGAGCCAAUUGAUUCAAUUUGUCAUUCUGUGCCUGGUAGAAGCAUUACUCAUUGCCUUUGAAAGAAAUGUGCACGGCUUUGAUAUAUCUUUGAAGUCAUUGUGAGAGGAAGGGUGGUGUUACAGUGCCUUUUAAGACAUUACAAAAUAGCAUAUGCUAACUGAAACUGAGCCAUACGAGUAAUUCCUUAAUAAUAAUCUGUACAAUUGGGUGAGCAAUGCUACACAUUCCCUCAGACUGUCUGUUACCAUCCAAAAUAUAUAUAUAUAUUUUUUUUUUGAAAUGCUGCGUUGUUAUUCCGGUCAAAUGUCGCGUCGAGGGUUAGUCAGAGGCUUUAUUGGGACAUCCCCGCCCAAUGUUGUCAAAGCAGCGUCACAGACCAACUGUGUAACAGGCAAGAGAACUACACAGGCUGCUGGCCAGACAGAGAGUACCUUGUGAGGAAGUCAAAAGGCUGCACAUUAGCAAGUGGUGCGUGCGCCUUUCCUUAAGACCCACAGUCACACUCGAUUGUCCAUUUUUUGCACGCAAGGAAGGAAAGGGAAAUACCUCCUGCACACAGUUUCCGUUCUCUUUGCCAAGGUGCACUAGGUAUCUCUCUUUUCUGACCAUCAGGUAAUCCAGACAUCUCUAGCAUCUCCAAGGCAAUAUUAUUGGACUUAGGCAAUACGUUUGAUGUCCUACCGGUUAGUGUUAGCAUUUACCGGCCAUUUGAACACUUACACAACUCACAUCUGAUCUGGAUUGGAGCCAGGUUAAGGUUUCAGGACCCUUAUUCCCCUUACGUAAAGACCCAUAGCCUGUUCAUCUUUUUAUAUUGGAGUGAUGAGUCGUUGUUUUCCAUAGUGCCCAGUGGUAUGUCGGGACUUCAAACGCAUUGCCUAAGCUUACUGUAGUGGUUCGUAAUUGAACCGAUCAUCUUCUGUGAUUUCUGCAUCAGAGAGUACUGUUCAUUCCUCAGUCCAGUCUGGUAAAAUUAGCACAGCAACUAGCUGCACGGAAUUAUUCUUAUGACAUUGAUAAGCAUUAGAACUGCCGGGCUAUAAUCUCCUUGCACUGUUAGCCUGAAUGCGUCUGACACCUGUGUGCUUUGCAUGUUUGGAGAGAGGAUGGGCUUGGCUGAGCUACAGAAUGUGUGCAAUGAGCCUCCAAGCCUGUUGGCUUGUCUUCAGUUGUGAGGAAAUCGGUGUAUGGGCAAUUCCACGGUAACAGAAUGACGCUGAGGCUCCAAUUUUCACUUUAAAAUGUACGCCAAACAAAAACCAUUGCUUGCAAAGUUAAACAAACCAUCUAUGCACAAAGGACUGCUUCUAACCAUUUCCACUGAACAUUUUACAAAAACACAUUUAUUCAAAGAAAAGUACAGAUGUAAAGCAUUGCACAGUGGAAUUCAGUAUAGCAGAGUAGAGAAUUGUUCAUUUCAGUACAGUAAAGAACAGAAGGGGACAACAGAGGUCAGUACAGUACAAUACAGUAAAUUACACUGCACUCUACUAUAGUGUCCUCUACUGUACUGUGCUGUACUAAACUCUACUGUACAGUGCUGCAUUGUACUGACCUAUACUCUACUGUUCUUUACUGUUCUGUACUCUACUGUACUGUACUGAGACAGGUUAAAGAAGGAUUUCUACGACCUUGAGACAAUUGAGACUUGGAUUGUGUGUGUGUGCCAUUCAGAGGGUGAAUGGGUAAGACAAAAGUGCCUUUGAACGGGAUAUGGUAGUAGGUGCCAGGCGCACCGGUUUGUAUCAAGAACUGCACUGUUGCUGGGUUUUUCACGCUCAACAGUUUCCUGUGUGUAUCAACGAUGGUCCAUCCAGCCAAUUUGACACAUUGGAGCAUUGGAGUCAACAUGGGCCAGCAUCCCUGUGGAACGCUUUUGACACCUUGUAUAGUCCAUGCUGAAUCUGUUCUGAGGACAAGUCAAUAUUAGGAAGAUGUUCCUAAUGUUUGGUAUACUCCGUGUAAAAAUAUAAUCAAAAUAUUUAAGAACUCAUAGUUGUUUUAGUCCAUCAGCUCUCAUCCAAGCUAGAACAUGUAUAGGCCUAUUACUUCAUAAUAUAAGCACAGGUGUGAUGGGUCUUUGUUGGUAUUUACAUGGCCUUACUUUAAAUGUUGUAAUAUUUAAACAUUUACCUAUUACUAAAAGGUUAUCUUAAAGCUGAAAUCCGUAUAGGGGGAAACAGCACCACUAUUCCGCCCUCUGCGCCAUUUUAUUUUUGUUUUAGUUUUGUUGAUGAAAUGGAAGACAGGAGCGUCAUCAUCAUGUGGUCGGUGACACUUUGCUUCUUGAAAGUCCAAUAUCUUGGAAAACUUUACUGCUGACAUGCAAAACAUUUUGGGACUGUAUCAACAGUGGGACUGACGGAGAAAAGAAGAAAACAAAUACAUCAAACUUGUGUCUGAGUGGAUUUUCCUUUUAAUGCUAAGAGGUUUCACAGAUGGGUUAUUUUUAUUUUCUUCUUCUUCAUUUUUGUAGAUAUUGUCCCAAGAGAUGUAAACCUGAAAGACAAGUUCAUAAAGCAUUUCACAGGACCAGUCAAGUUCUCAUCGGAAUGUAGAACACAUUUUCAUCGACUCUAUCACAACACAAGGGAUUGUUCAAAACCAGCAUACUACAAAAGAUGUGCAAGAUUGCUAACACGGCUAGCAAUGAGUCCACUCUGCACACAAUUGUAGACAUUGCAUGUUCAAAAUAUUGAGAGGGUUCUAUGUUUUGCCAAGGAAGUGCCUUCAAUUUGCCUUCAAUUUUCAUCACAUUAAGAACAUAGUAUUGUAAUUGUUUAUAGUAUUUUUAUUUUUGUUGUUGAUACUGUAUGUAUAUGAAAAUGUUGACAGAUUUUAUUGGUUUUAUGAAAUAGAUUAGCAUUUUAUUUUCAUGUAUCAUGUAUUUUUAAGAAAACCUUAAUUUAAUAUUGAAUACAUCUAUUUAUUGAAAUGUAUAUAAUUAUUCACAAUAAUUCUGAAAUAUUCAAUUAUUUUUCUUAAAGUUCUCAUCUGAUGAAGUGUGUGAAUUCAUCUCACUAAAUAUUAUUUGCUUUGUCAAUAUUACAUUUUUGAGACGGUCCCACCAUGGUCGUUUCUAUAUGUCUUUCACUGUCAUUGUCUACAUUGCAUUUAAUUUGGCACUUGAGCGAUUUCACACAAUGAAAACAUAUUGAAGGAUGACGAUGGUAAUAAUGCACUGCAGUACUGAACAAUUAAAAAAAUAUUCAAGCACA
Oncorhynchus kisutch (coho salmon) is the source of this 5847-nucleotide long non-coding RNA. RefSeq lists it as uncharacterized. The transcript is spliced from 7 exons. The record is from RefSeq and is a predicted model, not a curated record. NCBI's taxonomy places the organism in Eukaryota, Metazoa, Chordata, Actinopteri, Salmoniformes, Salmonidae.